This is a long non-coding RNA of Poecile atricapillus (Black-capped chickadee), 6065 nucleotides long. RefSeq lists it as uncharacterized. The transcript is spliced from 3 exons. NCBI's taxonomy places the organism in Eukaryota, Metazoa, Chordata, Aves, Passeriformes, Paridae. The record is from RefSeq and is a predicted model, not a curated record.
UUCCCUUCCCUUCCCUUCCCUUCCCUUCCCUUCCCUUCCCUUCCCUUCCCUUCCCUUCCCUUCCCUUCCCUUCCCUUCCCCCCUCUCACCACCCCUGAGCUCCGCGCUCGCCCUCCGGGAGGCUCCUGACCGAGGCCUCCACGGGCCCGGCCCGGUCCCGCCGCCCUCUCCCGCCGCCGAGGCCCCGCGCUCCUGUUCUCAGGUUUCCUCACCAAACCCUGCCCCGAGAACGGCUCCCUUUGCAUUCCCCGCUCGCGUCUUCAGCUCCUUCCUCGCUGUGUCCCACACCCACCCUGAUGAGGUUUGCUCACAAUGACACUGAUGGACUCACUGAUCUCACAUGAAGGCGAGAGAGAAGAUGUGUGGAGCUCCAGGCAGGGCCUGCCCUCUUCAUUUCCCCAAACUGUUUUUUCUAUCUUUUUCUUUAUUGACACAAAUAUUGACGAGCCAAUGCAUCUCUUCAAUGAAGACCCAUCUGUACAGCCACUGAUCCACCAUAAACAUGGGAAAACCUGCCUCUACUCCACAUCCAUGCUCCCUCAGCACAGCUUGUAGUGGUUGUGAUACUCUCUUGCAGUGAUGGAACCCUGACCUUAAAUUCCUGAGUGAAAUCUAAGAGAACAAAGCUAUGUAUCCCAGUGAGCUUGGGAACAGGAAUAAGAAGCAUAAUGUGGCAAAAUCCCAAUAGAGAAGGACUGUUUCAUACACUGACACGUGUCUGAAUCCCGUUUGUUGGAAUUUGGUGGAUUCCCAGUUGGAGACAUGAUGGGAUAGAUGGAUUUCCUGCAGGGAGGUUGCAUCAAACCCUGCUGAAAUGCCAAGGAUGCAUGUUGCCCGUAUCAGCUUUUUCUGAUGUAAUACCAAACCCGUUCUACUACUCAACCAGAAGACCGGGAGAAUAACUUCCCGACAGCCAGUUUUCUUCACCCAUGAGAACUGCAGGCUCCAGGGCAGUACGGACACACUCCAAGAUCUGGGCAAGCAAGGACCCUGUGUGCAAUCCUCUGUGCUGGCAGCAGAGCCCUGGGCUUCGUGUUGCUCUGCCCAAGUAGAGCUGAUGUGACCCCUUGAGGGGCUCCUUGUGACUGCUGAACAUGAGUGGGAUUCACUGUGACCCCUCUCCUUCUCCAGCUGCCUCUGAACAGACUCACUCCCACACUCCAGCCUAUGGCAAGAGAACCUUCUCAAGAUUCUCUUCUGAUGAAGCAAGAUCUCCUGUCACUGCAGUGUUGGGUCUGGUCCUGGGUCUGCAGUGGCUGGGGAAUGCCAUGGUUUCCCCAUACAUUUCCCAGGGUGACAAGGGCUUGAGCUGUUCUUGCCUUUGUGCCUCCACUUGCCCCAUGCGAUGGCAGUGGGACAGCUCUGUGAACCAGACAGAACUGAUCCAGGCUUGUAAACCUCUUCAGGGAAGAAAUUAAACUUUGCAUCAUCUGUCAUCAUACAAUCAUAGACUCAUUUUGGCUGGAAAAGCCCUCUGAGAUCAUUGAGCCCAACAUUUAAUGCAGCACUGCCAUGUUCACCACUAAACCAUGUCCCCAGGUGCCACAUCCACUUUGUGGUUUAAAUCCCUACAGGGAUGGGGACCCCACCACUGCCCUGGGCAGCUGAGCCAGUGCCUGAACAUCAUUUCAGUGAAGAAAAUUUCCUUAAUAUUCAACCUAAACCUUCCCUAAUGCAACUCAAAGCCAUUUCUUCUUGUCCUGGGAGCAGAGCCCCACCUGGCUGGGCCCUCCUGUCAGGGAGCUGUGCAGAGCCAGAAGGUCCCCCCUGAGCCUCCUUUUCUCCAGGCUGAGCCACCCCAGGUCCCUCAGCUGCUCCUGGUGCUCCAGCCCCUUCUCCAGCUCCAUUCCCUUCUCUGGAAGUGCUCCAGCCCCUCAACAUCUUUCUUGUCAUGAGGGGCGCAGAACUGCCCCCAGGAUUCAAGUUCAGGUUACGCAUAGUCUGACAAAUGGUUGUGUGGGAAAAAAUGAGGACUGAGGUAUGGGAUCCAGCUGGAGGGAGAGCUGCUGGCAUAGAAGGACCAGCAGCAUCUAGCCACAGCCCACAUUGCUCCUGGAAACUCCUGAACUUUGCAAAAAUUUUAAACAAAGCUUGAGAAAAUUGCAGGAAAAAUAAAUCCAUAAGGGUUCUCUGUCUUAAACUGCAAGUAGCACACUCCAAGCAAUAUCAGUGCUGUAUCUUGAGAAGCUUCCCCAAGAAAGCUCAAGAAAUUGUUUUGCACACUCACAAGAAUAGGGAUAGGACUCUAGAUGCUGGCAUAAGGUCAGUACAUGGUCCAGGUGUAGCUGAGGGGUGAGUGGGAUGUUUUUCCCAAUAGGAGGAAUGGGCAGCCAACAUGACCAUGUUUAAAGUAAGGUAGGAAAGAAGAGGUCAGUAGAUUAAAUUCUUCUGCUUCAAAUUAUCUCACGCAGCUACGAGAGGCAUUUAGGAGAACAUAUGAAUGUGUUCCCAGAUGUUAAACAUGGAUUAAAGGCAACACAGCCCCAGAAGAAGGGGAUAAUGUACAGAGGCUAAUUCCACUACUAGAGUAAGGAUAAAAUAGCUCAGAAACAAGAGCUUCCGGUGCACAGCCCCUCUCCCCCCACACCCCCAACCGUACCACUUCUGCCCUGGCCCUUACACACUUAAAUACCCUUCUGUAUGCUUCUGGUUGUUGAAAUGACCUCUGGCAGUUUUCCAUGUGCUCACAAGGAGCCCUGCUGACCUUCCCCGUGGUGUAGUGAAAAGGUCACAGGGGACUGUGAGGCAUCUGAGCAAUUUAAUGUGCAGCUGGAUAUGAGAGGGGUGGGUCCAGCCCCAGGCAGGGCGGCAAAUGCUGAGACUUUAUCCCACAAGCUGCGCUGAGAUGCUGGAUUUUAAACUGUUCCCAGUCUGAACCAGAGGCUUUUGUCCAUAACUAGGGACAAGAGGACAACUAGGAACGAGAAGAUUUUUCUUCUUGCUCUCCAAACCUUCAAGUUUCUAGGAAUCCCACAGGUGAGGCCAAAAAAAUCCUCUGUGUUUGACUUCCACCCUGCCAUAUCAAUGUCAUACUAGUGGCAUACUAAUGUGUUUGGAUCAGGAGCUGGGAUCCACCUGCGUGGUGUCCCAGUGCAUGUCCCCUGAGCAAAUCAGGGUGUGCUCCAGGGCACUCUGCUGCUCUCACUCCCUGGGUAAUCCUUCCACUGAGCUCUCAGUCAAGGGAAAGGCCAGCACCUUGGAAAAACUGCUUAUUUUUCAAUUUGGUUUCAAUUUUGUUAACACAAAUGUUUUGCCCUCAACUUUGUGUCUUGCAUUGUUUCACACCUGAGGGAACAGCCCCCCAUAUCUACUGCAGGGGGGUAAGUGCAGACAAGUCAAUGCAGCUUCAGCUGCAUGUCCUGUGUCUCCUGCACCACCUCUCCCUCCACCUAUUUCACCUGCACCUCCUCUUCCUCCUGCAUCUCCUGUGCCUCCUGCAUCUUUUCUCCCUCCUGUGUAGCCUCUCAUUCCUGCCUUGCCUGUGGCUGUUGUAUCACCUCUAGUUCUGCAUCCUCUGCCCAAAGGGGCAGCCCAUACUGGUGCCACACAGGACACAGUUCCAUGCCCACUGGCUGGAAUUAAUCAGCAGGAGUGACUCCCUUGGAGAUGUCACAGCUGUCAGCCACAUGUUGUGAGGCUGCAGCUCCUGAGAAGCAGUAUUAGAUGCAAUAUCAAUUUCCUAAAAGUUAUAAAGUCAUAGAAUCCCAGAAUGGUUUGUGUUGGAAGGACCUUGAGGGUCAUUUUGCUCCACCUGCUGUUACAGGUAGGGACACCUUCCACUAGUCCAGCUUGCUCCACGCCCCGUCCAUGCACAGGGUACCGUAAGAAGUGCAGGCUACUGAAUACUUUUUGUUCAAACCAAGCUUUGAGAGAAAGGGAAAAAUAUAGGAAACUAUGGAGGGGGAGGGGGGGUUGACAAAUGGGCUUUUCAGGAAAGAAAAAAACAAAAAAGAAAACAAUUGUAAGAUUUGUUAAGAAGAAAAUUCUUUUUGUGCCUUGAAAACAUGAUGGACUGUGCUGAGAAAGCUCUGUAAUAGCACAGUCAGAAGUCAUCCAAAAAUGAAUUUUUCCAUUGUGGGCCUCCUUUGACCCCAUUAAGUGUGGACAUUAGAGCAUUUUCAUGUCCUUUUUUAUCCUGUUCAGCAUACAUGGCGCCUCAGUUAAGCUGGGCUGUCACUCAGGACACUGAGCGAUGGGCUGGGGUGGCUCUGAUGUGUCAGCGAAAGAUGUUUAACUGUAGGACAAACAAAUGUCUCUGGCCUUCAAGAAACAAUUUUCCAAAGGUUGAACUCAUAUUGACUCAUGCUAGCAUGGCAGAGAAAUGCGCUUUGCACUCUCAUUGCAGCCUAGCAGGAAACAGCAGCAUUUCCUGUGAGGAAAAAUAGUGGAGAGGAGCCAGGAAUGAAUAAGCAGCCUUAUUGCAUUGUGGAUCAUAAAACCUCUUCCAAUGAAAGGGCUAAGUAAGGCUUGUUAAAGCAUUGAUGAAGUCAAAGAAUAAAAUUACAAUGAGGUACACAGGAAAAAAUUAUAGCCUCCAGACAGGUAAGUAAGUUGAGGUAGGAAGGAAACAGGUAAUAAAAGAAAUAGGCUCUUUGGCAGGUAGCAUUUGUCAUCUUCUCCUGGAGCACCUUGCCAUGUCAUAGAAUGUCCAGUGAAGAAAUCUCUCCUAAUGCCCAACCUAAACCUCCCCUGGUGCAACCUGAGGCCAUUUCCUCUGGUCCUGCUGCUGUAUGUCACGUUCCUUGAGAAGGACACGCAUCACACAAGGACCUCAGAAAGAGCUUCUGCACUUCUGCCCAUGACACAGGGACCUUGUGUGCCCGGGACAGUCUUUCUGUUCCAGCCACUGAAGUGGCCUGAAGGAAGCCACUGGAGUUUGCUGAUGUGCUAGGAGGGUGUGAUGUGCUUCUGAAUGUCCUACAGGAGGAGUUGAGAUGGGCUGACUGGGCUGAUGCUGAAUCAUGGCAAUGGAUGAGCAUUAAAUAGGGACUUUUUGUCAUGGAGUUUGUGUUGAUUUGGCACAGCCCGGUUUCUGGUAGUAGGGGAGGACCACUAGGGUAGCUUCUGUGAGAGGCUACUAGAAGCUUCCACUGUAGGAAUGUGUCCGAUGGAGCCAGUCUCUGAUGGCUCUGAAGACUGACAUGCUACUGAGCCAACUAGAGAGGCUGGUAAUUCCUCUGUGAUAUUUAAGAAGAAAAUCAAAGCAGUGUGCACACAGUUUUUUUUCCAGGGUGGUGAGACAUCCCUGCUGGGUGCAGUGACGUGCCGUGGCCACUGCCAUUUCUGUGUGGCUUGUGGUGAGCUUUGCCCGCCUGGCCACCCCUGGGCAGCUGCACCUCGGGCACAAGGGCAGGGCCAGCAGCAGUGGCUUCUCCUCCCAGCGCCCUGCAUCAAGAGAGGCAUUAAAUAGUGGCAGUGUAAUGGUGGCAGGGCCGCAUGGCCAGCAGCAAAAACACAGGGAGCGACUCCCCAACGCGAACCCAAAUGAGAUCGACCUCUCAACACUGUGAAAUCCUGCAAGCUUGGAAUUGGUGGAACUUGUUGGCAAUGGUACCUACAAGCAAGGUUUUCUUGUAGUCAGAGAAGAAGAGGGAGUGAGGGAAAACAACAUGGCAGCACCAAGGGGAUGCAGAGAUCCACUCGCAGCCCAUGGGAAAAGUGCUCACACCAGGGCAGGUGGAUGCCAGAGAAAGCUGUGAUCUAGUGAGAAGCCCAAAGAAAGAGAGAAGGCCUCUACUUCCAAAGACAGAGCGCCCUCACUUCCAAAUGAAAGCAGCCUGGCCUUAGAGGACUGCACCCUGUGGUCAAGUGACCCUUGCCACAGCAGUCUUGGGAAGAUUGUUUGCCCAUGGGAGGGGCGCCACGGCAUAACAGAGACAAGACUCCUCUCCCUGAGCUAACAAAAGAUCUCGAGUGACAAACUGACCAAAACUCCCACUCCUUGUCUCCCUGUUUUGUUGGUGGGAAAGAGGGAGGGGCUGGGAGGAGAAAAGGUGUUUCAAAAGCUUAUUUUACGUCUCAUUAUCCUCCUCUGAUUGCUUAUAAUGAAUUUAUUUUAUACCUUU